This 699-nucleotide long non-coding RNA is filed under the name Nicotiana benthamiana. RNAcentral describes it as "long non-coding RNA (NBEN_LNC019250)". The record is from RNAcentral. Lineage: Eukaryota; Viridiplantae; Streptophyta; Magnoliopsida; Solanales; Solanaceae.
AAAGAUUCGCAGAGAUGUACAAAAUCAGUAGAAUAUUACACGAACGAUGAACAUUUAGGCCUAUAAAGCACAAUAGACAUGAAAAUAAGAGAAUCCUAAGCAAGAAAGCAUGGGAGCAACAAAGGGUCGGAAACCUAGCAAGAAAUUAAGGCAUGGAACUCAGGUUAAGAAGGAAACCAAACAAACGUAACACAAACAAACACAUAACACUCAAGAAAGGCAGAAAACAUAUGAUUUGGAAAAGAGGUCAGAAAUCCUAAUUUUGCAAAAAGAGAAAAAAAAUCGGAAAACUUGAGAUAAUCAGAGAUAUUGAGUGAGAAAUAGAUUAGGAAACAAACUUAAAAUAAAAAUCGUUUUAAAAGAACAAAGAUUAAAGAGAUUUGAGCAGAAAAAUUAGGGUUUGUGAACGAAUUAGAAAAAGGAAUAACCUGGCCGUGAAACUCAUCAAUAACGGGGUUUAAGGCAUCAUCAGACUAAAAACCACCGGAGAAAGGCCGGCACAGACUUAGGCGAAGCUUCAGUGGCUAUCUUCCAUGGUGGAAGCUUCUGGACUUCGAGUCUUAUAGAGAAAUAAUGAGGUGAGGCUCCAUGGUAAAUGAUGGUCGAGAGGAGUGAGGAUGAAGGUGACCGGAACAACGAUGAAGACCAUCAGAGAUUAGAGAGAGAACCAGAAGGUUCUAGAGAAAACUUAGAGAUGAA